This 253-nucleotide ribosomal RNA is filed under the name uncultured Eubacteriales bacterium. RNAcentral's name for it is "uncultured Clostridiales bacterium partial 16S ribosomal RNA". It matches the Rfam family "Bacterial small subunit ribosomal RNA", at positions 524 to 776 of the family's 1533-position model. Lineage: Bacteria; Bacillati; Bacillota; Clostridia; Eubacteriales. The record is from RNAcentral.
UACGUAGGGGGCAAGCGUUAUCCGGAUUUACUGGGUGUAAAGGGAGCGUAGACGGCGAUGCAAGCCAGAUGUGAAAGCCCGCGGCUCAACUGCGGUAGUGCAUUUGGAACUGGAUGGCUGGAGUGCAGGAGAGGUGAGCGGAAUUCCUAGUGUAGCGGUGGAAUGCGUAGAUAUUAGGAGGAACACCAGAGGCGAAGGCGGCUCACUGGACUGUAACUGACGCUGAGGCUCGAAAGCGUGGGGAGCAAACAGG